CCUACGGGAGGCAGCAGUGGGGAAUUUUGGACAAUGGGCGCAAGCCUGAUCCAGCAAUGCCGCGUGAGUGAAGAAGGCCUUCGGGUUGUAAAGCUCUUUUGUCAGGGAAGAAACGGUGGAGGUUAAUACCUUCUGCUAAUGACGGUACCUGAAGAAUAAGCACCGGCUAACUACGUGCCAGCAGCCGCGGUAAUACGUAGGGUGCAAGCGUUAAUCGGAAUUACUGGGCGUAAAGCGUGCGCAGGCGGUUGUGCAAGACAGAUGUGAAAUCCCCGGGCUCAACCUGGGAAUUGCAUUUGUGACUGCACGGCUAGAGUGUGUCAGAGGGGGGUAGAAUUCCACGUGUAGCAGUGAAAUGCGUAGAGAUGUGGAGGAAUACCGAUGGCGAAGGCAGCCCCCUGGGAUAACACUGACGCUCAUGCACGAAAGCGUGGGGAGCAAACAGGAUUAGAUACCCUGGUAGUCCACGCCCUAAACGAUGUCUACUAGUUGUCGGGUCUUAAUUGACUUGGUAACGCAGCUAACGCGUGAAGUAGACCGCCUGGGGAGUACGGUCGCAAGAUUAAAACGUCAAAGGAAUUGACGG
This 586-nucleotide ribosomal RNA is filed under the name uncultured bacterium. RNAcentral's name for it is "bacterial SSU rRNA". It matches the Rfam family "Bacterial small subunit ribosomal RNA", at positions 338 to 916 of the family's 1533-position model. The record is from RNAcentral.